RNAcentral lists this ribosomal RNA (751 nucleotides) under Escherichia coli. RNAcentral's name for it is "partial 23S ribosomal RNA". It matches the Rfam family "Bacterial large subunit ribosomal RNA", at positions 999 to 1751 of the family's 2925-position model. The record is from RNAcentral. Lineage: Bacteria; Pseudomonadati; Pseudomonadota; Gammaproteobacteria; Enterobacterales; Enterobacteriaceae.
UAACGUCCGUCGUGAAGAGGGAAACAACCCAGACCGCCAGCUAAGGUCCCAAAGUCAUGGUUAAGUGGGAAACGAUGUGGGAAGGCCCAGACAGCCAGGAUGUUGGCUUAGAAGCAGCCAUCAUUUAAAGAAAGCGUAAUAGCUCACUGGUCGAGUCGGCCUGCGCGGAAGAUGUAACGGGGCUAAACCAUGCACCGAAGCUGCGGCAGCGACGCUUAUGCGUUGUUGGGUAGGGGAGCGUUCUGUAAGCCUGUGAAGGUGUGCUGUGAGGCAUGCUGGAGGUAUCAGAAGUGCGAAUGCUGACAUAAGUAACGAUAAAGCGGGUGAAAAGCCCGCUCGCCGGAAGACCAAGGGUUCCUGUCCAACGUUAAUCGGGGCAGGGUGAGUCGACCCCUAAGGCGAGGCCGAAAGGCGUAGUCGAUGGGAAACAGGUUAAUAUUCCUGUACUUGGUGUUACUGCGAAGGGGGGACGGAGAAGGCUAUGUUGGCCGGGCGACGGUUGUCCCGGUUUAAGCGUGUAGGCUGGUUUUCCAGGCAAAUCCGGAAAAUCAAGGCUGAGGCGUGAUGACGAGGCACUACGGUGCUGAAGCAACAAAUGCCCUGCUUCCAGGAAAAGCCUCUAAGCAUCAGGUAACAUCAAAUCGUACCCCAAACCGACACAGGUGGUCAGGUAGAGAAUACCAAGGCGCUUGAGAGAACUCGGGUGAAGGAACUAGGCAAAAUGGUGCCGUAACUUCGGGAGAAGGCACGC